UAAGGAAUAUUGGUCAAUGGACGCAAGUCUGAACCAGCCAUGCCGCGUGAAGGAUGAAGGUCCUCUGGAUUGUAAACUUCUUUUAUCUGGGACGACAACGGGAUUUUUAUCUCAAUUGACGGUACCAGAGGAAUAAGCACCGGCUAACUCCGUGCCAGCAGCCGCGGUAAUACGGAGGGUGCGAGCGUUAUCCGGAUUUACUGGGUUUAAAGGGUGCGUAGGUGGGCUUAUAAGUCAGUGGUGAAAUCUCCGAGCUUAACUUGGAAACUGCCGUUGAUACUAUAGGUCUUGAAUUAUCUGGAGGUAAGCGGAAUAUGUCAUGUAGCGGUGAAAUGCUUAGAUAUGACAUAGGACACCAAUUGCGAAGGCAGCUUACUACAUAUAAAUUGACGCUGAGGCACGAAAGCGUGGGGAUCAAACA
Molecule: ribosomal RNA, 421 nt
Filed under: uncultured bacterium
Lineage: Bacteria
Description: bacterial SSU rRNA
Rfam family: Bacterial small subunit ribosomal RNA
Source: RNAcentral